This 555-nucleotide ribosomal RNA is filed under the name uncultured bacterium. Its description in RNAcentral is "partial 16S ribosomal RNA". It matches the Rfam family "Bacterial small subunit ribosomal RNA", at positions 355 to 900 of the family's 1533-position model. The record is from RNAcentral.
UAGGGAAUCUUCCACAAUGGACGCAAGUCUGAUGGAGCAACGCCGCGUGAGUGAAGAAGGUUUUCGGACCGUAAAGCUCUGUUGUUGGUGAAGAAGGAUAGAGGUAGUAACUGGCCUUUAUUUGACGGUAAUCAACCAGAAGGUCACGGCUAACUACGUGCCAGCAGCCGCGGUAAUACGUAGGUGGCAAGCGUUGUCCGGAUUUAUUGGGCGUAAAGCGAGCGCAGGCGGAAGAAUAAGUCUGAUGUGAAAGCCCUCGGCUUAACCGAGGAAUUGCAUCGGAAACUGUUUUUCUUGAGUGCAGAAGAGGAGAGUAGAACUCCAUGUGUAGCGGUGGAAUGCGUAGAUAUAUGGAAGAAUACCAGUGGCGAAGGCGGCUCUCUGGUCUGCAACUGACGCUGAGGCUCGAAAGCAUGGGUAGCGAACAGGAUUAGAUACCCUGGUAGUCCAUGCCGUAAACGAUGAGUGCUAAGUGUUGGGAGGCUUCCGCCUCUCAGUGCUGCAGCUAACGCAUUAAGCACUCCGCCUGGGGGAGUACGACCGCAAGGUUGAAAC